CAAAACUUAGCUCUUGCCAAAAUCAUUCCCGGGGAUGCCUUGGCCUAGGCAUCUGACCGAGACCACCAAGGCUGUUAAAUGUCUUUACAUCCGAAAUUCUAGCCAUGCCUUGGUGUUGGCUGAGUCUCACUCUCACGCGGUGGUCCACGUGAAGUGCACUCAAAUCUUUACCUCUAGAGAAACCCUACACACGGCUCUCUAAUCGAGGUAAGGUAUAUCUGAUUCUGUGCCCCUUCUCUUAGGCUGGUCCACAGAACCUCCACUGCAGGGAUUAUGAAUUAUUUUAUCUACCACCUGAUUUAAAAAAUCCUUUUCUGCAUGACAUGGCAAUUUAUCGCAAUCUAGCCUCUCAAAGCUGAAUACAUAAUAUAUAUAAUUUUGAUACAAACACAGACUUUGCCAUUCAUGCUCACAUAUUGCUAUAAGCCAUAUAAUUUAAAACACAAUUUAUAACGCAAGCGGGCAGUCUCCAAUUACUCUACUUUCAAAACCAGUAUUCAAUUUUUUAGAAAAUUUAUAAAAUCAUUGUAUAAAAUCACAAUUUUUCCUAAAAUAUAGCAAUUUACCAUUUAAACUCAUUUUCUAUAAAAUCACACAAUUGAAUAAAACUACUCUAGAUAAUUAAGAUGAUAAUAAGUUUACUCACAGGUUUCAAAAGUUCAGAUUGUGGGUGUACUCAGCUUAGUGAUCCCCAAGCGUAAUUGCCUUGCCUUUGUCGAAAGGCACACCACCUUGACACAGUAUAAAAUCAAGGAAUUUACUACGUUGCCCUUAAAUUGAAAUAACUAAUUUAGAUCACUAAUGCAUGGUAUGAAAUGCAAAAGGUCUAAAUUUUGCCUAAACACCGUAUUGACCUAUUUCGGUCUUUUACCCGACAAAUUGAAAUGCGCAUCCAAUUUAGCUCCAAUUGAUCCCAUUUCUUUUUCUAAUGCUUCAAAUCACCAAUGUCCAGCCAAAUAACCCAAAAAUCAGCAAAGCCACAUUCAUAUUCCUUCUUGGAAAAAUUUGACCAAAAUGGUGCAUCAUUGUCACAAUUUUUCCUACUUGAUUUUCUUUCCAUAAUUCAUUAAUUUUCAUAUCAAAAACCAUGAUUUCAUAAUCAAAUAACCUAAAAUAACAUUACAUUCUUCCUCACCAUUGACUUGAAAAUUCAGCUAAGGCUAGGUAAUGGGAAAAAUGAAUGUUUUUCUUCAUAUUUUGUUUACUAACAUGCUAAACUAACACUAAACACUAACAUAUAUCAAAAUCAAAUCAAUCCAACAAUUUUCUCUCUCUAGACCCAUAUGACCAGCCAUUAAAUCACCAUGAAAACAUGUAAUUUAAUCAUGGAAAAUAAGGAGAAAUGCUUUGGAAUAAGAAAACUCAAGCUUAAUAGAAAAAUCUUACCUUUUUCACUUAAUUUCCUUGAAAAUUCACACUUUUUUUUUAUUUUCUCUCUCUAGGGUUUGGUUUUUGUUUUCUCUCUCUUCUUGCUGGUUUGGCC
Molecule: long non-coding RNA, 1483 nt
Filed under: Theobroma cacao (cacao)
Lineage: Eukaryota; Viridiplantae; Streptophyta; Magnoliopsida; Malvales; Malvaceae
Description: long non-coding RNA (TCAC_LNC001919)
Source: RNAcentral